ACUUAAGUAGUUUAAUUAUAAAAUAUUGAUUUGUGGUGUCAGUGAUAUAAAAUUUAUCUUAGGUU
This 65-nucleotide transfer RNA is filed under the name Eurycotis decipiens. RNAcentral's name for it is "tRNA-His". The record is from RNAcentral. Lineage: Eukaryota; Metazoa; Arthropoda; Insecta; Blattodea; Blattidae.